AUGGGAGGCGUUUGGGAGGAUCGACUAGGAAGGAUCAAACGGCACCUGGAGAAGACCUACACAAGGGUGCCACCAAGAUCUUCAAGGAUGUCCUCGACUCUGCCGGGUGAGAUGGAUUCUUUUCAUCUUUCAUUCUCCAGUCAUUAUGUUCUAGACCAAAUAGAUCCUAAUGCGAUCGAGUUGGAGGCAGAUUCAGACAACAGAUUCCUUUACAAAUUCGAAGCGAGAACUCAAAAAAGAAAGUGCAAGGAAAUGAAGGGCGCAAGACUACUAGAGGCAAAGACAGGCGGACGCGGCCGGAGCAGUAUGGUGGCGUCGAUGGGUGUGGAGGAGUGUGUGAAGACGCUGCAGAGCACCGUUGAGGAGCUUGUCAGUAGGACGAGCUGCUCCCGCUGCUGCAUGGCAACCCAGCCGGAUCUGCCUCGACAGGGUGUUGGGAAGGUGGUCAAUGUGAACAAGAUGGUCAGGGCCAGAUGGAGAGUAAAGAUCCUAAUAGCGGACCAGAGGCCAACUUGGCAAGAUCAGGGAGCAGCUGGACCACGACAAGGACUUCGGCGGCGGCUUCUCCGCCAUGUGGGAUUAUUCCUUGACCUUUCACAAUUCCUUCAGGCGUCCAUAACAUCAAGCAUAAUUUUGGUGUUUCUUAACCUUUUGCAUUCUACUCUAAUAAGUUAA
Molecule: ribosomal RNA, 675 nt
Filed under: Triticum aestivum (bread wheat)
Lineage: Eukaryota; Viridiplantae; Streptophyta; Magnoliopsida; Poales; Poaceae
Description: partial small subunit ribosomal RNA
Source: RNAcentral